GGCUAACGCUGGCGGCGUGUCUUAGCCAUGCAAGUCGAGCGGACUUAUGGGGUAACUUAUAAGUCAGCGGCGGACGGCGGAGUAACACGUAGCUAACCUACCCUCUGGACGGGGAUAACCUACCGAAAGGUGGGCUAAUACCCGAUGUAGUCAUCCUGUAUAGGGGUGAUGAAAGGUGGGCUUCUGUUUACAAGCUCAUGCUGGAGGAGGGGGCUGCGGCCUAUCAGGUAGUUGGUAGGGUAAUAGCCUACCAAGCCGAUGACGGGUAGCCGGCCUGAGAGGGUGACCGGCCCGAGGGGCACUGAGAUACGGGUCCCACUCCUACGGGAGGCAGCAGGCUAGAAAUUUGGGCAAUGGGGGAAACCCUGACCCAGUGACGCCGCGUGCAGGAAGGAGCCCUUCGGGGUGUAAACUUGCUGUCGUGUAGGGAGAAGGGUACUAAGGUGAACAAUCUUAGUACUUGACGGUACUACAGGAGGAAGCCCAGGCUAACCUCGUG
This 499-nucleotide ribosomal RNA is filed under the name uncultured bacterium. Its description in RNAcentral is "bacterial SSU rRNA". It matches the Rfam family "Bacterial small subunit ribosomal RNA", at positions 28 to 507 of the family's 1533-position model. The record is from RNAcentral.